UACGUAGGGUGCAAGCGUUGUCCGGAAUUAUUGGGCGUAAAGAGCUCGUAGGCGGUUUGUCGCGUCUGCUGUGAAAACCUGCGGCUCAACUGCAGGCUGGCGGUCGAUACGGGCAGGCUGGAGUUCGGUAGGGGAGACUGGAAUUCCUGGUGUAGCGGUGAAAUGCGCAGAUAUCAGGAGGAACACCGGUGGCGAAGGCGGGUCUCUGGGCCGAUACUGACGCUGAGGAGCGAAAGCGUGGGGAGCGAACAGG
Molecule: ribosomal RNA, 253 nt
Filed under: uncultured bacterium
Lineage: Bacteria
Description: partial 16S ribosomal RNA
Rfam family: Bacterial small subunit ribosomal RNA
Source: RNAcentral